GAGAACUUUGGAUAACUAACCGAUGGUUUCAUGUGUUUCUAAAUUGGCAUGACAGACUUUAUGAGAAGUCAUGUCCUUUCAAGGAAAGGGACAAGGACUAUACAGUCAACAAGAUUCCUUGUUUGCUACCCCGUUGUCUGCUACCCUUUACUUCCUUACACAAGGCCUCUUGAUUUGAGGGUAACUCCUUCGUGGACUUCAUCCAUUGCUGAA
Molecule: long non-coding RNA, 213 nt
Organism: Daphnia pulex (common water flea)
Lineage: Eukaryota; Metazoa; Arthropoda; Branchiopoda; Diplostraca; Daphniidae
Exons: 3
Source: RefSeq, a predicted model, not a curated record